Molecule: ribosomal RNA, 392 nt
Filed under: uncultured eukaryote
Lineage: Eukaryota
Description: partial 18S ribosomal RNA
Rfam family: Eukaryotic small subunit ribosomal RNA
Source: RNAcentral
CAAUAGCGUAUACUAAAGUUGUUGCGAUUAAAAAGCUCGUAGUUGGAUCUCAGGCAUGGGCGCACGGUCCGCCUCGCGGCGGUCACUGUGUGUUUUGUUUCCCAUCCUACGCUUCCCGGUUAUCAGCCCAUGGUGCUCUUCACUGAGCGUUUUGGGUGGCCGGAACGUUUACUUUGAAGAAAUUAGAGUGUUCAAAGCAGGCACGUUGCCUGAAUAAUGGUGCAUGGAAUAAUGGAAUAGGACCUCGGUUCUAUUUUGCUGGUUUUCGGAACACGAGGUAAUGAUUAAGAGGGACAGACGGGGGCAUCCGUAUUGCGGUGUUAGAGGUGAAAUUCUUGGAUCAUCGCAAGACGAACAACUGCGAAAGCAUUUGCCAAGCAUGUCUUCAUUAG